This 502-nucleotide ribosomal RNA is filed under the name uncultured bacterium. RNAcentral's name for it is "partial 16S ribosomal RNA". It matches the Rfam family "Bacterial small subunit ribosomal RNA", at positions 30 to 523 of the family's 1533-position model. The record is from RNAcentral.
AUUGAACGCUGGCGGCAUGCUUUACACAUGCAAGUCGAACGGCAGCAUAGGUGCUUGCACCUGAUGGCGAGUGGCGAACGGGUGAGUAAUAUAUCGGAACAUGUCCGGAAGUGGGGGAUAACGUAGCGAAAGUUACGCUAAUACCGCAUAUGCCCUGAGGGGGAAAGGGGGGGAUCGCAAGACCUCUCGCUUUCGGAGUGGCCGAUAUCGGAUUAGCUAGUAGGUGAGGUAAAGGCUCACCUAGGCGACGAUCCGUAGCUGGUCUGAGAGGACGAACAGCCACACUGGGACUGAGACACAGCCCAGACUCCUACGGGAGGCAGCAGUGGGGUAUUUUGGACAAUGGGCGCAAGCCUGAUCCAGCCAUGCCGCGUGAGUGAAGAAGGCCUUCGGGUUGUAAAGCUCUUUCAGCUGGAAAGAAAUCGUAUCUAUUAAUACUAGGUGCGGAUGACGGUACCAGCAGAAGAAGCACCGGCUAACUACGUGCCAGCAGCCGCAGUAA